This 497-nucleotide ribosomal RNA is filed under the name uncultured bacterium. RNAcentral describes it as "partial 16S ribosomal RNA". It matches the Rfam family "Bacterial small subunit ribosomal RNA", at positions 28 to 507 of the family's 1533-position model. The record is from RNAcentral.
GAUGAACGCUGGCGGCGUGCCUAAUACAUGCAAGUCGAGCGAACAGACGAGGAGCUUGCUCCUCUGACGUUAGCGGCGGACGGGUGAGUAACACGUGGAUAACCUACCUAUAAGACUGGGAUAACUUCGGGAAACCGGAGCUAAUACCGGAUAAUAUAUUGAACCGCAUGGUUCAAUAGUGAAAGACGGUUUUGCUGUCACUUAUAGAUGGAUCCGCGCCGCAUUAGCUAGUUGGUAAGGUAACGGCCUACCAAGGCGACGAUGCGUAGCCGACCUGAGAGGGUGAUCGGCCACACUGGAACUGAGACACGGUCCAGACUCCUACGGGAGGCAGCAGUAGGGAAUCUUCCGCAAUGGGCGAAAGCCUGACGGAGCAACGCCGCGUGAGUGAUGAAGGACUUCGGAUCGUAAAACUCUGUUAUUAGGGAAGAACAAAUGUGUAAGUAACUAUGCACGUCUUGACGGUACCUAAUCAGAAAGCCACGGCUAACUACGUG